GACGAACGCUGGCGGCGUGCCUAAUACAUGCCAGUCGAGCGAGCGAAACUAACAGAUUUACUUCGGUAAUGACGUUAGGAAAGCGAGCGGCGGAUGGGUGAGUAACACGUGGGGAACCUGCCCCAUAGUCUGGGAUACCACUUGGAAACAGGUGCUAAUACCGGAUAAGAAAGCAGAUCGCAUGAUCAGCUUUUAAAAGGCGGCGUAAGCUGUCGCUAUGGGAUGGCCCCGCGGUGCAUUAGCUAGUUGGUAAGGUAAAGGCUUACCAAGGCGAUGAUGCAUAGCCGAGUUGAGAGACUGAUCGGCCACAUUGGGACUGAGACACGGCCCAAACUCCUACGGGAGGCAGCAGUAGGGAAUCUUCCACAAUGGACGCAAGUCUGAUGGAGCAACGCCGCGUGAGUGAAGAAGGUUUUCGGAUCGUAAAGCUCUGUUGUUGGUGAAGAAGGAUAGAGGUAGUAACUGGCCUUUAUUUGACGGUAAUCAACCAGAAAGUCACGGCUAACUACGUG
This 512-nucleotide ribosomal RNA is filed under the name uncultured bacterium. RNAcentral's name for it is "partial 16S ribosomal RNA". It matches the Rfam family "Bacterial small subunit ribosomal RNA", at positions 28 to 507 of the family's 1533-position model. The record is from RNAcentral.